AGAGUUUGAUCCUGGCUCAGAACGAACGCUGGCGGCAGGCUUAACACAUGCAAGUCGAACGCCCCGCAAGGGGAGUGGCAGACGGGUGAGUAACGCGUGGGAACAUACCCUUUCCUGCGGAAUAGCUCCGGGAAACUGGAAUUAAUACCGCAUACGCCCUACGGGGGAAAGAUUUAUCGGGGAAGGAUUGGCCCGCGUUGGAUUAGCUAGUUGGUGGGGUAAAGGCCUACCAAGGCGACGAUCCAUAGCUGGUCUGAGAGGAUGAUCAGCCACAUUGGGACUGAGACACGGCCCAAACUCCUACGGGAGGCAGCAGUGGGGAAUAUUGGACAAUGGGCGCAAGCCUGAUCCAGCCAUGCCGCGUGAGUGAUGAAGGCCUUAGGGUUGUAAAGCUCUUUCACCGGAGAAGAUAAUGACGGUAUCCGGAGAAGAAGCCCCGGCUAACUUCGUGCCAGCAGCCGCGGUAAUACGAAGGGGGCUAGCGUUGUUCGGAAUUACUGGGCGUAAAGCGCACGUAGGCGGAUAUUUAAGUCAGGGGUGAAAUCCCAGAGCUCAACUCUGGAACUGCCUUUGAUACUGGGUAUCUUGAGUAUGGAAGAGGUAAGUGGAAUUCCGAGUGUAGAGGUGAAAUUCGUAGAUAUUCGGAGGAACACCAGUGGCGAAGGCGGCUUACUGGUCCAUUACUGACGCUGAGGUGCGAAAGCGUGGGGAGCAAACAGGAUUAAUACCCUGGUAGUCCACGCCGUANACGAUGAAUGUUAGCCGUCGGGCAGUAUACUGUUC
RNAcentral lists this ribosomal RNA (783 nucleotides) under uncultured bacterium. Its description in RNAcentral is "bacterial SSU rRNA". It matches the Rfam family "Bacterial small subunit ribosomal RNA", at positions 8 to 841 of the family's 1533-position model. The record is from RNAcentral.